This 446-nucleotide ribosomal RNA is filed under the name uncultured organism. RNAcentral describes it as "partial 16S ribosomal RNA". It matches the Rfam family "Bacterial small subunit ribosomal RNA", at positions 334 to 797 of the family's 1533-position model. The record is from RNAcentral.
CACUCCUACGGGAGGCAGCAGUGGGGAAUAUUGGACAAUGGGCGCAAGCCUGAUCCAGCCAUGCCGCGUGAGUGAUGAAGGCCCUAGGGUUGUAAAGCUCUUUCACCGGAGAAGAUAAUGACGGUAUCCGGAGAAGAAGCCCCGGCUAACUUCGUGCCAGCAGCCGCGGUAAUACGAAGGGGGCUAGCGUUGUUCGGAAUUACUGGGCGUAAAGCGCACGUAGGCGGAUCGAUCAGUCAGGGGUGAAAUCCCAGGGCUCAACCCUGGAACUGCCUUUGAUACUGUCGAUCUGGAGUAUGGAAGAGGUGAGUGGAAUUCCGAGUGUAGAGGUGAAAUUCGUAGAUAUUCGGAGGAACACCAGUGGCGAAGGCGGCUCACUGGUCCAUUACUGACGCUGAGGUGCGAAAGCGUGGGGAGCAAACAGGAUUAGAAACCCCAGUAGUCCC